Molecule: long non-coding RNA, 642 nt
Filed under: Rattus norvegicus (Norway rat)
Lineage: Eukaryota; Metazoa; Chordata; Mammalia; Rodentia; Muridae
Description: long non-coding RNA NONRATT030011
Source: RNAcentral
GUGAAGAACCCGGCUGUGAUGGUGAGUUCUCCUCCUUGAUGGCUUCCUCCUGAGCCCUGCAAAGAGUUCUUUUGCCUGGGCUACCUUGUCAGGGUCACAUAAGAGACGAUGACAAGGAAAUACACAACAGUAUGGUCACCGUUUUCGGAAAGGAAAUGUGUAACAAGUCUGCCACAAUUGCAUCUGUAAUACCAAUCAGUGGGAAAACACUUGUUACAGAGCGGCCCUGUGGGCCAACUGCAAGUCAAGGGAUCACUGUGAGUCACACAGUGUUCGGUCAUGAAAGAAAUUAUGAUACUGCAUCUCAGGUGGAUUUGCAGGAAUUCAGUGAGUAAAAUGGAAACGACACCUAGGGAAGUCAUAGUGACUCUGCCUGCCAGGCACCUCAAGGAGUUUUCACCCAAAGAAAGGGCACGAUGGGAAUUAUCUGGGUGCUUUCCUCAGAGGUCUGAGUUCAGAUCCCUCACAAAGUGCUGUGUGAGAGUCUACUGUUUGGUAAAACAUGGCCGCUCAGUGGGAGCCAACUUCUUUGUCAAGCCCACGUUGAAAAAGCAUAAUUAUUUACUUUGAAAGAAAACUCUCUAUUUCUAAGAGAAUGUCAGUCUCCUAGGGGUUGCUUUUACAGUUUUCUGACUUGUCUCU